Molecule: microRNA, 23 nt
Filed under: Panagrellus redivivus
Lineage: Eukaryota; Metazoa; Nematoda; Chromadorea; Rhabditida; Panagrolaimidae
Description: prd-miR-7910b-3p
Source: miRBase by way of RNAcentral
UUAGGCCUUGCUUCAUUUCAAAU